UACGUAGGUGGCGAGCGUUGUCCGGAUUUACUGGGCGUAAAGGGAGCGUAGGCGGGCUUUUAAGUGAGAUGUGAAAUACUCGGGCUCAACUUGAGUGCUGCAUUUCAAACUGGAAGUCUAGAGUGCAGGAGAGGAGAAUGGAAUUCCUAGUGUAGCGGUGAAAUGCAUAGAGAUUAGGAAGAACACCAGUGGCGAAGGCGAUUCUCUGGACUGUAACUGACGCUGAGGCUCGAAAGCGUGGGGAGCAAACAGG
RNAcentral lists this ribosomal RNA (253 nucleotides) under uncultured bacterium. Its description in RNAcentral is "partial 16S ribosomal RNA". It matches the Rfam family "Bacterial small subunit ribosomal RNA", at positions 524 to 776 of the family's 1533-position model. The record is from RNAcentral.